RNAcentral lists this small nuclear RNA (312 nucleotides) under Castor canadensis (American beaver). Its description in RNAcentral is "7SK RNA (ENSCCNG00000015904.1)". It matches the Rfam family "7SK RNA". Rfam says of the family: 7SK was discovered as an abundant small nuclear RNA in the mid-70s but a possible function has only recently been suggested. Two independent studies have found that 7SK RNA binds the CDK9/cyclin T complex (known as elongation factor P-TEFb). The record is from Rfam by way of RNAcentral. Lineage: Eukaryota; Metazoa; Chordata; Mammalia; Rodentia; Castoridae.
GGAUGUGAGGGCGAUCUGGCUGCGACAUCUGUCACCCCAUUGAUCGCCAGGGUUGAUUCGGCUGAUCUGGCUGGCUAGGCGGGUGUCCCCUUCCUCCCUCACCGCUCCAUGUGCGUCCCUCCCGAAGCUGCGCUGGGUCGAAGAGGACGACCAUCCCCGAUAGAGGAGGACCGUUCUUCGGUCAAGGGUAUACGAGUAGCUGCGCUCCCCUGCUAGAACCUCCAAACAAGCUCUCAAGGAGAUAGGCAGGAAGGGGUGGUGGUCUGAGAGACAGGCUAAACAGCCCUUGGAGAGGCAUUCCAGCCUCCCCAG